AACAAACGCUGGCGGCGUGCCUAAUACAUGCAAGUCGAACGGGGAAAGCUUUCGGGUGAGUACUAGUGGCGCACGGGUGAGGAACGCGUGGAUAAUCUGCCUUAGAGUGGGGGAUAACUAGUCGAAAGAUUAGCUAAUACCGCAUAAGACCACGAGAGCUGCGGCUUUUGAGGUCAAAGGUUUUUCGCUCUAAGAUGAGUCCGCGUAAGAUUAGCUAGUUGGUGAGGUAACGGCUCACCAAGGCGACGAUCUUUAACUGGUCUGAGAGGAUGAUCAGUCACACUGGAACUGAGACACGGUCCAGACUCCUACGGGAGGCAGCAGUAGGGAAUAUUGCACAAUGGAGGAAACUCUGAUGCAGCGACGCCGCGUGAGGGAUGAAGGCCUUCGGGUCGUAAAGCUCUGUCGCAGGGGAAUAACACAAUGAAGGUACCCUGUAAGAAAGGAUCGGCUAACUUCGUG
This 462-nucleotide ribosomal RNA is filed under the name uncultured bacterium. RNAcentral's name for it is "partial 16S ribosomal RNA". It matches the Rfam family "Bacterial small subunit ribosomal RNA", at positions 29 to 507 of the family's 1533-position model. The record is from RNAcentral.